RNAcentral lists this ribosomal RNA (522 nucleotides) under uncultured Glomeraceae. Its description in RNAcentral is "SSU rRNA". It matches the Rfam family "Eukaryotic small subunit ribosomal RNA", at positions 569 to 1092 of the family's 1831-position model. Lineage: Eukaryota; Fungi; Glomeromycota; Glomeromycetes; Glomerales; Glomeraceae. The record is from RNAcentral.
AGCAGCCGCGGUAAUUCCAGCUCCAAUAGCGUAUAUUAAAGUUGUUGCAGUUAAAAAGCUCGUAGUUGAACUUCGGGAUCAAUGGAUCGGUCAUGCCAUCGGUAUGUACUGGUCUCAUUGGUUCUCACCUUCUAAGGAACCAUAAUGUCAUUCAUUUGAUGUUUUGGGGAAUUAGGACUGUUACCUUGAAAAAAUUAGAGUGUUUAAAGCAGGCUAACGCUUGAAUACAUUAGCAUGGAAUAAUGAAAUAGGACAUCGCAUUCUAUUUUGUUGGUUUCUAGGAUCGAUGUAAUGAUUAAUAGGGAUAGUUGGGGGCAUUAGUAUUCAAUUGUCAGAGGUGAAAUUCUUGGAUUUAUUGAAGACUAACUACUGCGAAAGCAUUUGCCAAGGAUGUUUUCAUUAAUCAAGAACGAAAGUUAGGGGAUCGAAGACGAUCAGAUACCGUCGUAGUCUUAACCAUAAACUAUGCCGACUAGGGAUCGGAUGAUGUUGAUUUUUUAAUGACUCAUUCGGCACCUUACG